AAUGAACGCUGGCGGCAGGCCUAACACAUGCAAGUCGAACGAGUGGCGGACGGGUGAGUAAUGUCUGGGAAACUGCCUGAUGGAAGGGGAUAACUACUGGAAACGGUAGCUAAUAACGCCUACCAUCGGUUGUGCCCAGAUGGGAUUAGCUAGUAGGUGGGGUAAAGGCUCACCUAGGCGACGAUCCCUAGCUGGUGUGAUAGGUUGACCGGCAACACUGGACCUGGGAACCGGUCCAGACUCCUCCGGGAGGCAGCAGGGGGGAAUAUUGCACAAUGAGCGAAAGCCUGAUGCAGCCAUGCGGCGUGUAUAAAGCGGGCCUUCGGGUUGUAAAGUACUUUAAGCGGGGAGGCGUUACCCGCAGAGGAAGCCACGGCUAACUACGUGCCAGCAGCCGCGGUAAUUC
RNAcentral lists this ribosomal RNA (406 nucleotides) under uncultured bacterium. RNAcentral's name for it is "partial 16S ribosomal RNA". It matches the Rfam family "Bacterial small subunit ribosomal RNA", at positions 29 to 526 of the family's 1533-position model. The record is from RNAcentral.